RNAcentral lists this microRNA (23 nucleotides) under Triops cancriformis. RNAcentral's name for it is "tcf-miR-10316b". Lineage: Eukaryota; Metazoa; Arthropoda; Branchiopoda; Notostraca; Triopsidae. The record is from miRBase by way of RNAcentral.
ACUGAGAACGGUUCGAGUCGACU